This 151-nucleotide ribosomal RNA is filed under the name uncultured crenarchaeote. RNAcentral describes it as "partial 16S ribosomal RNA". It matches the Rfam family "Archaeal small subunit ribosomal RNA", at positions 321 to 473 of the family's 1478-position model. The record is from RNAcentral. Lineage: Archaea; Thermoproteati; Thermoproteota.
CCCUACGGGGUGCACCAGGCGCGAAACCUCUGCAAUAGGCGAAAGCUUGACAGGGUUACUCUGAGUGAUUUCCGCUAAGGAGAUCUUUUGGCACCUCUAAAAAUGGUGCAGAAUAAGGGGUGGGCAAGUCUGGUGUCAGCCGCCGCGGUAA